This 317-nucleotide long non-coding RNA is filed under the name Fukomys damarensis (Damara mole-rat). RNAcentral's name for it is "lncRNA (ENSFDAG00000032336.1)". Lineage: Eukaryota; Metazoa; Chordata; Mammalia; Rodentia; Bathyergidae. The record is from RNAcentral.
CCAGGGAAUAGCGAGAGGGGUGUCUGUCCGUUGCUCUCAUUACUCCCCAUGCGUUUAUUCUUUGACGACCUACUGUGCGCUGGACCUGAGACUCGCUCUUGGGAACAUGGCCAUGAGAACUGGCGCAGGGCCUAGCAACGGAGAGCUGGAGUCUUCCCCGGGGGAUCCAGGUAGUACAAUGUCAGCACCUGUUACUGUUUGGAGGCCAAAGUGAUAUAAAGGAAAAUCGAGGGUCAUUUCAUUUUGGAGAGGACAUCACGCCGAAGACAUACAUAAAACUAUGACAUGAAGAAGUGAAAACAGUCUCUUUCGCUCAC